UGCAGUCGAACGGACUGCCCUCAUAAACCCUUCGGGGUUUUUGAGGAUCACAGUCAGUGGCGGACGGAUGAGUAACACGUGAACAACCUGCCCUCAGGCCGGAGAUAACCUGGCGAAAGUCGGGCUAAUAUCCGAUUGAGUUAAGGGAUGGCAUCAUCCCUUAAUGAAAGAUGGGCAUAGUACCAUUACCUGAGGAGGGGUUCGCGCCGGAUUAGUUAGCUGGUAGGGUAAAGGCCUACCAGGACAGCAAUCCGUAGCUGGUCUGAGAGGAUGAUCAGCCACACUGGGACUGAGACACGGCCCAGACUCCUACGGGAGGCAGCAGUGGGGAAUAUUCUACAAUGGGGGAAACCCUGAUAGAGCGACGUCGCGUGAGUGAAGAAGGCCUUCGGGUUGUAAAGCUCUGUCACCGGGGAAGAAGGUAUUUAUGAGGAAAUGCAUAGAUAUUGACGGUACCUGGAGAGGAAGCACUGGCUAACUACGUGCCAGCAGCCGCGGUAAUACGUAGAGUGCAAGCGUUGUCCGGAAUUAUUGGGCGCAAAGGGUACGCAGGCGGCCCUGCAAGUCAAAUGUGAAAGGUCACAGCUUAACUGUGAGAAUGCGUUUGAAACUGUAGGGCUUGAGUACAACAGAGGAGAGCGGAAUUCCUGGUGUAGUGGUGAAAUACGUAGAGAUCAGGAAGAACACCAGUG
This 692-nucleotide ribosomal RNA is filed under the name uncultured low G+C Gram-positive bacterium. RNAcentral's name for it is "bacterial SSU rRNA". It matches the Rfam family "Bacterial small subunit ribosomal RNA", at positions 56 to 714 of the family's 1533-position model. The record is from RNAcentral. Lineage: Bacteria; Bacillati; Bacillota.